Molecule: ribosomal RNA, 468 nt
Filed under: uncultured bacterium
Lineage: Bacteria
Description: partial 16S ribosomal RNA
Rfam family: Bacterial small subunit ribosomal RNA
Source: RNAcentral
GACGAACGCUGGCGGCGUGCUUAACACAUGCAAGUCGAACGGAAAGGCCCUGCUUUUGUGGGGUGCUCGAGUGGCGAACGGGUGAGUAACACGUGAGUAACCUUCCCUUGACUUUGGGAUAACUUCAGGAAACUGGGGCUAAUACCGGAUAGGAGCACCUGCUGCAUGGGGGGGGUUGGAAAGUCUCGGCGGUUGGGGAUGGACUCGCGGCUUAUCAGCUUGUUGGUGGGGUAGUGGCUUACCAAGGCUUUGAAGGGUAGCCGGCCCGGGAGGGGGAACGGGCACCAUGGGACUGAGGUACGGACCAGAGUCCAACGGGAGGCAGCAGUGGGGAAUAUUAGCCAAUGGGGGGAAGCCUGAUGCAGAAACGGCCGGUGGGGGAAGAACGCCUUCGGGUUGUAAACCGCUUUCGCCUGUGACGAAGCGUGAGUGACGGUAAUGGGUAAAGAAGCACCGGCUAACUACGUG